ACGAACGCUGGCGGCGUGCUUAACACAUGCAAGUCGAACGGAAAGGCCCUGCUUUUGUGGGGUGCUCGAGUGGCGAACGGGUGAGUAACACGUGAGUAACCUGCCCUUGACUUUGGGAUAACUUCAGGAAACUGGGGCUAAUACCGGAUAGGAGCUCCUGCUGCAUGGUGGGGGUUGGAAAGUUUCGGCGGUUGGGGAUGGACUCGCGGCUUAUGAGCUUGUUGGUGGGGUAGUGGCUUACCAAGGCUUUGACGGGUAGCCGGCCUGAGAGGGUGACCGGCCACAUUGGGACUGAGAUACGGCCCAGACGCCUACGGGAGGCAGCAGUGGGGAAUAUUGCACAAUGGGCGGAAGCCUGAUGCAGCAACGCCGCGUGCGGGAUGACGGCCUUCGGGUUGUAAACCGCUUUCGCCUGUGACGAAGCGUGAGUGACGGUAAUGGGUAAAGAAGCACCGGCUAACUACGUG
This 467-nucleotide ribosomal RNA is filed under the name uncultured bacterium. RNAcentral's name for it is "partial 16S ribosomal RNA". It matches the Rfam family "Bacterial small subunit ribosomal RNA", at positions 29 to 507 of the family's 1533-position model. The record is from RNAcentral.